CCACGGAGACCGAAGGGCUGUGAUUGGUCCAACCCAUGCUGUUUACCUUGUAGAUGGUUCAGUCGUUGUGGACCUUUACCAGUGUCUUGAAAAAACCAUAUUGUUGCAUGGAGCAAAGCUGAUUGGCCAGUUGGAACAGGAAGUUGGGAAACACUAGUUUAAAUAUGUCUCUCUGUUUGUAAUGUGUAAUACAUUUGUAAUUAAAUGCCCACACACACACACACACACUAGUUUAAAUCUGUCUCUCUGUUUGUAAUGUGUAAUACAUUCUGUAAUUAAAUGCCCACACACACACACACUAGUUUAAAUCUGUCUCUCUGUUUGUAAUGUGUAAUACAUUCUGUAAUUAAAUGCCCACACACACACACACUAGUUUAAAUCUGUCUCUCUGUUUGUAAUGUGUAAUACAUUCUGUAAUUAAAUGUAAUACAUCUCUAAAUGAUCAAAA
Clupea harengus (Atlantic herring) is the source of this 448-nucleotide long non-coding RNA. RefSeq lists it as uncharacterized. The transcript has 3 exons. The record is from RefSeq and is a predicted model, not a curated record. Lineage: Eukaryota; Metazoa; Chordata; Actinopteri; Clupeiformes; Clupeidae.